UGUAGGAGCUGCCGAAGGCUGCGAUCUUUUGAUCUUUGCCGGUUCACUCGGAGCUCAAGUGUUUCCGGUAAAGAUCGCAGCCUUCGGCAGCUCCUACA
This 98-nucleotide unclassified non-coding RNA is filed under the name Pseudomonas helmanticensis. The record is from RNAcentral. Lineage: Bacteria; Pseudomonadati; Pseudomonadota; Gammaproteobacteria; Pseudomonadales; Pseudomonadaceae.